RNAcentral lists this ribosomal RNA (230 nucleotides) under uncultured bacterium. RNAcentral describes it as "partial 16S ribosomal RNA". It matches the Rfam family "Bacterial small subunit ribosomal RNA", at positions 15 to 237 of the family's 1533-position model. The record is from RNAcentral.
GAUCAUGGCUCAGGAUGAACGCUAGCUACAGGCUUAACGCAUGCAAGUCGAGGGGCAGCGGGAUUGAAGCUUGCUUCAAUUGCCGGCGACCGGCGCACGGGUGAGUAACGCGUAUCCAACCUUCCGCAUACUCGGGGAUAGCCUUCUGAAAAGGAGAUUAAUACCCGAUGGUAUCAAGAGAUUGCAUGAUAACUUGAUUAAAGGAUUUCGGUAUGCGAUGGGGAUGCGUU